Molecule: long non-coding RNA, 552 nt
Organism: Megalobrama amblycephala (Wuchang bream)
Lineage: Eukaryota; Metazoa; Chordata; Actinopteri; Cypriniformes; Xenocyprididae
Exons: 2
Source: RefSeq, a predicted model, not a curated record
AGGACUCAGCAGAAAAGGUUCAGUCACUGAUGGCCACCAUUUCAGUGUGCACACAAACAGCAAGCUAUACGAAUGGAUUCACAGAGGAGGGGUCCAAGGGCCUCAUCAGUCUACUUAAGAGAAGACUGCAAGACCUCAGACUCAGACAGCAGACUGUAGCAUGCACAUACCGAGGCCAACUCCUAGGCUGGUGGAAGAGGAGGAAGGGGAAAUGGAUGAAGAAUUGGAUUGGCUAUGUGACAUCAGCUAUGAUGAUUAUGAUGAUGAUGAUGCAGAGUUGGGGACUCGAAUCAGACUCAGGUCACAGUUGUAAUCACUUUUGCUUUGACUUGUACUUUGAUGAUUUGAAAAGGUUUCUAAAGUCUUGACAAAAGUCUUGACUGUCAUUUUGUAAAUUAGUUCAAUUGCUACAUAUGUUCUCAUAUUCUACUCUCUUUUAUGUUACUGGAAUUGUGAUAGUCAUGGUUAUGUAUGCAACUGAUAAUGUCUGUAAAUACUUGCUGAUAACUGUAUAUAUGUAAACAGAAAUACAAAUGUGAUUUGUCAUCUGAC